RNAcentral lists this ribosomal RNA (253 nucleotides) under uncultured bacterium. RNAcentral's name for it is "partial 16S ribosomal RNA". It matches the Rfam family "Bacterial small subunit ribosomal RNA", at positions 524 to 776 of the family's 1533-position model. The record is from RNAcentral.
UACAGAGGGUGCAAGCGUUAAUCGGAAUUACUGGGCGUAAAGGGUGCGUAGGUGGUUAGAUAAGUUAUCUGUAAAAUCCCUGGGCUUAACCUGGGCAGGUCAGAUAAGACUGUUUGACUCGAGUAUAGGAGAGGGUAGUGGAAUUUCCGGUGUAGCGGUGAAAUGCGUAGAGAUCGGAAGGAACACCAGUGGCGAAGGCGGCUACCUGGCCCAAUACUGACACUGAGGCACGAAAGCGUGGGGAGCAAACAGG